CAGUAGCCGCGGGAAUACGGAGGGGGCUAGCGUUGUUCGGAACUACUGGGCGUAAAGCGCACGUAGGCGGCUUGGUAAGUUAGAGGUGAAAGCCUGGAGCUCAACUCCAGAAUUGCCUUUAAGACUGCCGAGCUAGCAGGUGAGAGAGGUAAGUGGAACUCCGAGUGUAGAGGUGAAAUUCGUAGAUAUUCGGAAGAACACCAGUGGCGAAGGCGGCUUACUGGCUCAUACUGGACGCUGAGGUGCGAAAGCGUGGGGAGCAAACAGGAUUAGAUACCCCGGUAGUCCCUGUCUCUUAUAC
Molecule: ribosomal RNA, 301 nt
Filed under: uncultured bacterium
Lineage: Bacteria
Description: partial 16S ribosomal RNA
Rfam family: Bacterial small subunit ribosomal RNA
Source: RNAcentral